GAGCCAUAGCCAAGUGGUAAGGCAAGGGACUGCAACUCCCUGAUCGCUGGUUCAAAUCCUGCUGGCUC
This 68-nucleotide transfer RNA is filed under the name bovine gut metagenome. It matches the Rfam family "tRNA". From Rfam's summary of the family: Transfer RNA (tRNA) molecules are approximately 80 nucleotides in length. Their secondary structure includes four short double-helical elements and three loops (D, anti-codon, and T loops). The record is from RNAcentral.